CCUUCUCGCUUGUCCCAACUUCGACUUAACUAGCUUAUCAUCUUCUUCAAUUCUAAAAAACCUAACCGUCAUUAUGGUUAGAGAAGAGAUCAUCAACAAAGUCCUAUCUCAAACAGAUGUUGAUUAUCGAUUAGCAUUUCCAACAGCUAGUUUAUGGGGUAUUCAAAUCCCUGAGGGAUAAAAUGCUAUGGAGUUUGAAGCUACUAGUGCUGAUAAUAUUCAUGAACACUGGAACUUCAGACUCUGCUGCGAGAGAUACAGAAAACCUGAACUCACUGGAGAUUGGCUUCAGUUUGUAAGUAGCAAGAAUCUUUGUAAGGGUAACAAAAUCAUCUUGACAAUGGAGCUUGAUGAAGCUACUGGAGAGCGAUCGUACACCAUUAGAGCUGAGGCAAAGCUUAUGGAUGAAUGUUUUGUGAGUUAGUUUUUAUUUGGAGUCUGCUUUUGAUUUGAAUAAGUAGUGAGUUUAAUUAAUUUAAAAUUAAAGAUAAAUUUAUCGAUAAAAUGUCAACUUUUCUCGUAAAAGUAUAUUAUAAGAUAAACUCAGUGCGAAUAAGAAUUUUUUCGAAAUAAAUUUAUAAAAAAAUUUUAGAUAAGCUUAGGAUAAGUUGAUAGUGCUUUAUGUAGGUGUUGGUGUUUGUUAUA
Molecule: long non-coding RNA, 645 nt
Filed under: Manihot esculenta (cassava)
Lineage: Eukaryota; Viridiplantae; Streptophyta; Magnoliopsida; Malpighiales; Euphorbiaceae
Description: long non-coding RNA (MESC_LNC003788)
Source: RNAcentral